Molecule: ribosomal RNA, 460 nt
Filed under: uncultured bacterium
Lineage: Bacteria
Description: partial 16S ribosomal RNA
Rfam family: Bacterial small subunit ribosomal RNA
Source: RNAcentral
CCUACGGGAGGCAGCAGUGAGGAAUAUUGGUCAAUGGGCGUAAGCCUGAACCAGCCAAGUCGCGUGAGGGAUGAAGGUUCUAUGGAUCGUAAACCUCUUUUAUCAGGGAAUAAAGUGUGGGACGUGUCCUAUUUUGUAUGUACCUUAUGAAUAAGGAUCGGCUAACUCCGUGCCAGCAGCCGCGGUAAUACGGAGGAUCCGAGCGUUUUCCGGAUUUAUUGGGUUUAAAGGGUGCGUAGGGGGGCCUUUAAUCCAGCGGGAAAAGUCGGUGGGCAAAGCAGAGAAUUGCCGUUGAAACUGGGGGGCUUGAGUGUGUAUGAGGUAGGCGGAAUGCGUGGUGUAGCGGUGAAAUGCUUAGAUAUCACGCAGAACCCCGAUUGCGAAGGCAGCCUACCAAGCCAUGACUGACGCUGAUGCACGAAAGCGUGGGGAUCAAACAGGAUUAGAUACCCGAGUAGUC